Long non-coding RNA from Mytilus californianus (California mussel), 877 nucleotides. RefSeq lists it as uncharacterized. The transcript is spliced from 5 exons. Lineage: Eukaryota; Metazoa; Mollusca; Bivalvia; Mytilida; Mytilidae. The record is from RefSeq and is a predicted model, not a curated record.
AUGGACGCUCGUCUGCUGCUGAAUUCAUGUUUUAAAAGAAUGGACAAAGAUAGUCAGAUAGUUGAUACAAAGACCUUUGAUUUUUCAAACUGAUGGAUAAAAAGUUAUUAUAAACAGAUAUAUUGAAAUGGCCGACUCAAAAUCAUGCUGUUAAUUAGGGCCCCCUGUUGUACAUGUACUUAGGAAUCGGACACCUCCAGAAGAUGAAAGAUCUACUUUACAUCUUUUUCAACGAAAGUACAAUUACUUUGAGAAGUAGGAGAAGCUAAGCAACAGGACAGAAUUCAUUUGAGGUAUUGCUUUCCAGAUUAUAUAGUGGAGUCAUAGAUUGUCCUAUUGAUUUAUGUGGAUAUGAGGAGCAGUAGUCAAUGAAUAAUUUUGUGAUGAGAGAAUUAGCUCCUCAGAUAUAAGUGGAAGGGAAGCUAUAUACAUUAUAUGUUUAAAUGAAAUUAACAACAGGAUUAGAUAUUGAGGAGAUCCUAUAGCUACAGUAUAUAUAAAUGUAACUGCAACUGUAUUCCAAGAGUCUGAUGGCUGAUAAUGUAUUACAGGAUUUUAUCAUUCAAGCAACAUCUUAGAAGGAUAAGUGCAAAUGUAUGAAGGAAGCCUUGGGUACAAAUAGCAAUUACAGCAAUUACAUGCAGGAGAGAACUCUUAACAUUACUAACAGACAUGUAGUCAUUAUAUGGGAGUGGUGUAUUCAAGAAAUCUAAAACACAUGGAAUUAAAUAUCGUGUAUAUUUUUUCAACCACAAGUACUCUCAGAAUAUAAUACAAUUCAAAUUCAAAUUAUUGUGCCAACAUGACAAUUACAGUCUAAAAAUGGAAAAUGCAUGUUUUAAACUGAUUUUUAUAUAAAUAUUUGAAAUAACAAGAA